Ochotona princeps (American pika) is the source of this 233-nucleotide long non-coding RNA. RefSeq lists it as uncharacterized. The transcript has 2 exons. Lineage: Eukaryota; Metazoa; Chordata; Mammalia; Lagomorpha; Ochotonidae. The record is from RefSeq and is a predicted model, not a curated record.
UGAAUUCUAGAAAUCAUGUAGACUGGACAAGUAAGUCUCCCUAUGUGUUGGCAACUGUUUUAAAGGAUUUUCCUCAAAGUAUACCUGGAAGCCCGUUUCCAACCAACCUCUAUGAAAAAUUAAUUGAUGCUUUGGAUGAAGGGAACAAUGAGGUCAAAACUGCCAUACUUUGCAGGUGAUGCUGUAACAACUAUUCUCUUGAACAUGUCUCAACAAUGCAGCCAACAUUCUUU